CACCUGAAAUCAAGCAAGAUCACCCGCUGAACUUAAGCAUAUCAGUAAGCGGAGGAAAAGAAACUAACAAGGAUUGCCUUAGUAGUGGCGAAUGAACCGGCAUCAGCUCAAAGUGUAAAUCUGAGGCAUCAAGUCUUAGAAUUGUAAUCUAAAGGCCUUUUAGGGAAGUCAUGGUCCUAGCAUAAGUUCCUUGAAAAGGGAUGCCAAAGAGGGUAAAAGCCCCGUAUUUGGUUAGGACUAGAUGUACCGAAGGGUUCCAAGAGUCGGGUUGUUUGGGAUUGCAGCCUAAAAUGGGAGAUAAACUUCUUCUAAAGCUAAAUAUUUAUGGGAAACCGAUAGCAAACAAGUACUACGAAGGAAAGAUGAAAAGAACUUUGAAAAGAGGGUUAAAAGACUUGAAAUCGUUGAGAAGAAAAGCGGUAGAAGAGAAAUGAUUUCGUUCAGAAGUAUGUGGCGUUGUUGCUGUCUUCCUUGGUGAUGGUACUUCAUAGGGCCUAACUUUGGACCGGCGGUGCAUAGUUACUUUUUCUGGGCGAAGUGCAAAAUGAGGUCUCGCUUGCGGAAACGUCUCUGGGGAGGACUCUGGUCUAGAUACUGGAAGCCCCGGUCUCCAA
Molecule: ribosomal RNA, 614 nt
Filed under: Paramecium sp.
Lineage: Eukaryota; Ciliophora; Oligohymenophorea; Peniculida; Parameciidae
Description: partial 28S ribosomal RNA
Rfam family: Eukaryotic large subunit ribosomal RNA
Source: RNAcentral